RNAcentral lists this ribosomal RNA (468 nucleotides) under uncultured bacterium. RNAcentral describes it as "partial 16S ribosomal RNA". It matches the Rfam family "Bacterial small subunit ribosomal RNA", at positions 28 to 507 of the family's 1533-position model. The record is from RNAcentral.
GACGAACGCUGGCGGCGUGCUUAACACAUGCAAGUCGAACGGAAAGGCCCUGCUUUUGUGGGGUGCUCGAGUGGCGAACGGGGGAGUAACACGUGUGUAACCUGCACCUGUCUUUGGGAUAACUUCAGGAAACUGGGGCUCAUACCGGAUAGAAGCUCCUGCUGCAUGGGGGGGGUUGGAAAGUUUCGGCGGUUGGGGAUGGUCUCGCGGCUUAUCAGCUUGUUGGUGGGGUAGUGGCUUACAAAGGGUUUGACGGGUAGCCGGCCUGAGAGGUGGACCGGCCACAAGGGGACUGAGAGACGGACCAGACGGCUACGUGACGCAGAGGUCGAGAAUCUUGCAGAAUGGGGGGGAGCGUGAUACGGCAACGCCCCGUGCGGGAAGAUGGGCUUCUGGGUGUGAACAACUGUCGACGUAAACGAGCAGGGAGUGACGGUAAUGGGUAAAGAAGCAACGGCUAACUACGUG